CCGGCGUACUGGGGCGGUUCAGUCGCCUCAGCCGCGGUGUGAGGGAGCGGGAGUCUUCCUUAGCUUCUCCGCCAUGGGUGUCGCUUCGUAGCCGGGCUGCUCCGGGAAAGGCCUCGUACAGCACGCAUUCACCAGAAUCCUGUCAGCUUUCCUCUUCUCAUCCAGACGCCUGGCCAGGAUCCUCGAUAAGACCGUGACCCCCAACUUGGACACCCCAUAAGAGACAGGGUUUCGCCAUGUUGGCCAGGCUGGUCCCCAACUCCUGACCUCAUGUGAUCCACCCGCCUCGGCUUCCCAAAGUGCUGGGAUUACAGGCGUGAGCCAUCGCACCUGGCCUGAGUUUGCAUUUCUAGGUUCCCAGAUGAUGUGACAGCUACUGGUCUCCAGCCACACCUUGAGAACACUUGGCUUUGACUACCACUUCUUAAACUUAAAGGGUCUUCUCUGUCGCCCAGGCUGGAGUGCAGUGCUGCAGUCGUGGCUCACUGUAGCGUCAGUCUCCUGAGCUCAGGAAAACUAGACAAUCCACCAGCCCAGGAGGGGACAAGCAGGCUUAUUCCUCCUCCUCGUCAUCUCUGGCUCCAGCCCCACCCUGGCCCUUGCUGGCAUUCUUCCUCUUCACGUGGCUGGGGUUGGCCACCCCAAUAGGGAAGCAGAGGGAGAAGUCAAUGUGCUUCUGGGAAUCCAGGCGGACAGUGAAGAACAGGAUAUUUACCACCUGCUCACGGACACGGAUAUGACACUGUUGAAUCAGCACAUGAGCGUGGCGGAUGGACUUAGCCAAGCCAAGCUUGAAGACCUGGGUCUGUAGGAAUCUCUAAGAAAUCAUUGAUCUUCAGGCCCAG
This 845-nucleotide long non-coding RNA is filed under the name Homo sapiens (human). Its description in RNAcentral is "CBR3 antisense RNA 1". Lineage: Eukaryota; Metazoa; Chordata; Mammalia; Primates; Hominidae. The record is from RNAcentral.